This 326-nucleotide ribosomal RNA is filed under the name uncultured eukaryote. Its description in RNAcentral is "partial 18S ribosomal RNA". It matches the Rfam family "Eukaryotic small subunit ribosomal RNA", at positions 1470 to 1796 of the family's 1831-position model. The record is from RNAcentral.
CCCUUAGGUGUUCUGGGCUGCACGCGCGCUACACUGAUGCACUCAACGAGUUUACGACCUUGCCCGAUAGGGUUGGGUAAUCUUUUUAAAAUGCAUCGUGAUGGGGAUAGAUUAUUGCAAUUAUUAAUCUUCAACGAGGAAUUCCUAGUAAGCGCGAGUCAUCAGCUCGUGCUGAUUACGUCCCUGCCCUUUGUACACACCGCCCGUCGCUCCUACCGAUUGAGUGCUCAGGUGAAUAAUUCGGACUGCAGCAAUGUUUGGAUCCCGAACGUUGCAGCGGAAAGUUUAGUGAACCUUAUCACUUAGAGGAAGGAGAAGUCGUAACA